RNAcentral lists this non-coding RNA (74 nucleotides) under unclassified sequences. The record is from RNAcentral.
AAAGCGUCGUGAAAAAGAUAAACUUCCUUGUGUGCAAGUCACACGGCGUCAGUUUCCUAUUUUCAUCUCGCUUU